UUAGGAUGGAGAAAAACAUGCUCUUGCUUCUCUGUCUCACAUUCCCAGGCUUCCUCCACUUCCUUGUUUCAGAAUUUCACAACCAACACAGGAUCAACGUUGUCUCUAUGAGACAGACGCUCACAUCCAUAUGGGCAGAGGCCCAUCGGUGAUGGUGAUGCAAGCACGGGCUUCCGCCGCAUCGAUGACGCCCAACAUCAUCGUAUAUCAAUGGACAAGAACUAGAUGAUGAAUUCUCAUAUUUAUGGACAGCAGCACCUCCUCUAUCAGCCUCCCAUAACAAAAAUCAUAAACACCGCGUUAGUCGUAAUAGUUUUCCCGAUGAGGAUAAUCCCAUGAGGCUUUUCACAAAUGUCUCAAGAUGGAAUAACAAAAUACAA
This 380-nucleotide small RNA is filed under the name Histoplasma capsulatum var. duboisii H88. RNAcentral describes it as "Histoplasma capsulatum H88 hypothetical RNA". Lineage: Eukaryota; Fungi; Ascomycota; Eurotiomycetes; Onygenales; Ajellomycetaceae. The record is from RNAcentral.